Molecule: ribosomal RNA, 782 nt
Filed under: Escherichia coli
Lineage: Bacteria; Pseudomonadati; Pseudomonadota; Gammaproteobacteria; Enterobacterales; Enterobacteriaceae
Description: partial 23S ribosomal RNA
Rfam family: Bacterial large subunit ribosomal RNA
Source: RNAcentral
AUAAUGGGUCAGCGACUUAUAUUCUGUAGCAAGGUUAACCGAAUAGGGGAGCCGAAGGGAAACCGAGUCUUAACUGGGCGUUAAGUUGCAGGGUAUAGACCCGAAACCCGGUGAUCUAGCCAUGGGCAGGUUGAAGGUUGGGUAACACUAACUGGAGGACCGAACCGACUAAUGUUGAAAAAUUAGCGGAUGACUUGUGGCUGGGGGUGAAAGGCCAAUCAAACCGGGAGAUAGCUGGUUCUCCCCGAAAGCUAUUUAGGUAGCGCCUCGUGAAUUCAUCUCCGGGGGUAGAGCACUGUUUCGGCAAGGGGGUCAUCCCGACUUACCAACCCGAUGCAAACUGCGAAUACCGGAGAAUGUUAUCACGGGAGACACACGGCGGGUGCUAACGUCCGUCGUGAAGAGGGAAACAACCCAGACCGCCAGCUAAGGUCCCAAAGUCAUGGUUAAGUGGGAAACGAUGUGGGAAGGCCCAGACAGCCAGGAUGUUGGCUUAGAAGCAGCCAUCAUUUAAAGAAAGCGUAAUAGCUCACUGGUCGAGUCGGCCUGCGCGGAAGAUGUAACGGGGCUAAACCAUGCACCGAAGCUGCGGCAGCGACGCUUAUGCGUUGUUGGGUAGGGGAGCGUUCUGUAAGCCUGUGAAGGUGUACUGUGAGGUAUGCUGGAGGUAUCAGAAGUGCGAAUGCUGACAUAAGUAACGAUAAAGCGGGUGAAAAGCCCGCUCGCCGGAAGACCAAGGGUUCCUGUCCAACGUUAAUCGGGGCAGGGUGAGUCGACCCCUA